GACCACGUAGCUCAGUUGGCAGAGCAUUGGGCUAGCAUUCCAACGGUCGUAGGUUCGACUCCCACCGUGGUCA
Molecule: transfer RNA, 73 nt
Filed under: Paramuricea clavata
Lineage: Eukaryota; Metazoa; Cnidaria; Anthozoa; Malacalcyonacea; Plexauridae
Rfam family: tRNA
About the family: Transfer RNA (tRNA) molecules are approximately 80 nucleotides in length. Their secondary structure includes four short double-helical elements and three loops (D, anti-codon, and T loops). Further hydrogen bonds mediate the characteristic L-shaped molecular structure. tRNAs have two regions of fundamental functional importance: the anti-codon, which is responsible for specific mRNA codon recognition, and the 3' end, to which the tRNAs corresponding amino acid is attached (by aminoacyl-tRNA synthetases). tRNAs cope with the degeneracy of the genetic code in two manners: having more than one tRNA (with a specific anti-codon) for a particular amino acid; and 'wobble' base-pairing, i.e. permitting non-standard base-pairing at the 3rd anti-codon position.
Source: Rfam by way of RNAcentral